UUAGGAAUCUUCCCCAAUGGGCGCAAGCCUGAGGGAGCGAUACUGCGUGAAGGACGAAGGUUUUCGGAUCGUAAACUUCUGAACGAGGGACGAAAAAUGACGGUACCUCGCUAAAAGCACCGGCUAACUCCGUGCCAGCAGCCGCGGUAAUACGUAGGGGGCGAGCGUUGUCCGGAAGUAUUGGGCGUAAAGAGCGUGUAGGCGGCCCGGUAAGUCCGCCGUGAAAACCUGGGGCUCAACCCUGGGCGUGCGGUGGAUACUGGUGGGCUAGAGGAUGGUAGAGGGGAGUGGAAUUCCCGGUGUAGCGGUGAAAUGCGCAGAGAUCGGGAGGAACACCAGUAGCGAAGGCGGCUCGCUGGGCCAUUCCUGACGCUGAGACGCGAAAGCGUGGGGAGCGAACAGGAUUAGAUACCCGUGUAGUCC
Molecule: ribosomal RNA, 423 nt
Filed under: uncultured prokaryote
Description: bacterial SSU rRNA
Rfam family: Bacterial small subunit ribosomal RNA
Source: RNAcentral